AGGUCAGGCGGGACUACCC
This 19-nucleotide ribosomal RNA is filed under the name Teucrium divaricatum. RNAcentral's name for it is "partial 28S ribosomal RNA". The record is from RNAcentral. Lineage: Eukaryota; Viridiplantae; Streptophyta; Magnoliopsida; Lamiales; Lamiaceae. RNAcentral also lists the same sequence under 1 other name.